This 253-nucleotide ribosomal RNA is filed under the name uncultured bacterium. Its description in RNAcentral is "partial 16S ribosomal RNA". It matches the Rfam family "Bacterial small subunit ribosomal RNA", at positions 524 to 776 of the family's 1533-position model. The record is from RNAcentral.
UACGUAGGGCGCAAGCGUUGUCCGGAAUUAUUGGGCGUAAAGAGCUCGUAGGCGGUUUGUCGCGUCUGCUGUGAAAACUCGGGGCUCAACUCCGAGCUUGCAGUGGGUACGGGCAGACUAGAGUGCGGUAGGGGAGACUGGAAUUCCUGGUGUAGCAGUGAAAUGCGUAGAUAUCAGGAGGAAUACCGAUGGCGAAGGCAGGUCUCUGGGCUGACACUGACGCUCAUGCACGAAAGCGUGGGGAGCAAACAGG